CUACGUAGGGGGCGAGCGUUGUCCGGAAUGAUUGGGCGUAAAGGGCGCGUAGGCGGCCCGGUAAGUCUGGAGUGAAAGUCCUGUUUUUAAGAUGGGAAUUGCUUUGGAUACUGUCGGGCUUGAGUGCAGGAGAGGUAAGUGGAAUUCCCAGUGUAGCGGUGAAAUGCGUAGAGAUUGGGAGGAACACCAGUGGCGAAGGCGACUUACUGGACUGUAACUGACGCUGAGGCGCGAAAGUGUGGGGAGCAAACAGGAUUAGAUACCCUGGUAGUCCACGCUGUAAACGAUGAAUGCUAGGUGUAGGGGGUAUCGACCCCUUCUGUGCCGCAGUCAACACAAUAAGCAUUCCGCCUGGGGAGUACGGCCGCAAGGUUGAAACUCAAAGGAAUUGACGGGG
Molecule: ribosomal RNA, 397 nt
Filed under: uncultured bacterium
Lineage: Bacteria
Description: partial 16S ribosomal RNA
Rfam family: Bacterial small subunit ribosomal RNA
Source: RNAcentral